Molecule: non-coding RNA, 1237 nt
Organism: Pimephales promelas (fathead minnow)
Lineage: Eukaryota; Metazoa; Chordata; Actinopteri; Cypriniformes; Leuciscidae
Source: RefSeq, a predicted model, not a curated record
AGCACAUGUUUUAGCACGCACUCGUUUUAUAGUGGCUUAGGAGGAGGCUGGUGUUGUUUUAUGCCGUCUGCGUCUCUGUAAAUGUGUCUGGCUCGAUUUCCCAGACCUUAAAAUGAACACAAGCAUGCUUCGGUCAUUUUAUAUAAUAGCUUGUGAUAUUUGCAUUUGCUUAUGUAACAAUAUCAAUAUUUUAUUUGUGUUUUCAUGUACAUCUGUAGCAGAUGAGUUAUAUAACUGAGAAAUUGCAGCCACUUCAUGAAAGAGAGAACGAUGAAAAGCACAUGAGAGCCUCGCGAGGUUACGUUCUCUUCCUGACGUGUUGUUUUAAUGAGGCAUUGCUUAAGAAGUGCUGAGUCAUGAUCGUGUAGAUCAGUGUUUCUCAACUGGUUUUUUGCUUCAGGACGUGGAAUUUUACUUUGACAUCAUGUGUCACGACUCACUGAUAUAGAAAACAAAGUGACCUUGAGUGACACGUUCAUCAUGUGAAAUCUGAUCGCCCUGCUCAGAAUGCAAAGGUUAGUGCGGGAAGAAUUAGUUGUCAGGCCGGAAAGAAAAUCCGAUAUUUACAGUUUCUCGGGUACAAAAACACGCCCUAAUGCUGCAAUUCCUUUAGGAGGGUUGAUCAUACGCCCUGGCUGCAGGCCAACAGAUUCGAUGUUCGUUGAGAAGGGCGAGGCGAGCUGUGGGUACGUGACUAAACAUCUUACUUCCUCUUUCCAACGUCACGAGGGCUUGCACAAACACAUCCGGCCUUGUGUCUGCAGAUUUCAGACGCAUUGCUUCACCCAAAGAGCCCUGAAGCUGCACUCAUUUGGAACGAGUCCAAAACAAAAGGGAAGGACCUGCAAAAGCUAUUUGUUAGUUCUUCUCACACUGUGGACAUUAUGUACCCAGUGACCAGACACCAUCACAAUGUGUGCAACCAUUAAAACUAGAGGGGGAAAAAAGUGGGAUUUGAGGUCAAGUUUGUUGUGUGUAUAAAUGAAAGUUUAAAUCCGUCAUUUCAUGAGCAUGACAAAUAUGACUAAGAUUGGUGAAAUAUUGUGAGUCGAUUUUGACUUGAUUACACAACUGAAGGCUGUAGGAAAGUGUCACGGAUUAGAAGUGGAAUGUAAGGGAUCAAGGCCAGACAUAUUUUAUUGCUAUUUUAAUGCAUUUUGACUUUAUGAACUCACAUUGUAAUAAUAGUAAUUUAAAUAACAAUAAGAGACUUGGUGUCAAUAAUUAUAAAUCUAAA